GACGAACCGUGCGAACGUUGUUCGGAAUCACUGGGCUUAAAGGGCGCGUAGGCGGACAUUCAAGUCAAGGGUGAAAUCCCCCAGCUUAACUGGGGAACUGCCUUUGAUACUGGGUGUCUCGAGUAAGGUAGGGGCAUGCGGAACUGAUGGUGGAGCGGUGAAAUGUGUUGAUAUCAUCAGGAACUCCGGUGGCGAAGGCGGCAUGCUGGACCUUCACUGACGCUGAGGCGCGAAAGCCAGGGGAGCGAACGGGAUUAGAUACCCCGGUAGUCCUGGCCCUAAACGAUGAGUACUAGGUUGUAGCCUUGACAUGGGGUUACAGCCGGAGCAAAAGUGCUAAGUACUCCGCCUGGGGAGUAUGGUCGCAAGGCUGAA
Molecule: ribosomal RNA, 375 nt
Filed under: uncultured bacterium
Lineage: Bacteria
Description: bacterial SSU rRNA
Rfam family: Bacterial small subunit ribosomal RNA
Source: RNAcentral